GGCCAGACUCCUACGGGAGGCAGCAGUGGGGGAUAUUGGACAAUGGGGGAAACCCUGAUCCAGCGAUGCCGCGUGAGGGAAGAAGGUUUUCGGAUUGUAAACCUCUGUGGACAGGGACGAUAAUGACGGUACCUGUCAAGAAAGCCACGGCUAACUCCGUGCCAGCAGCCGCGGUAAUACGGAGGAUGCGAGCGUUAUCCGGAUUUAUUGGGUUUAAAGGGUGCGCAGGCGGAAUGUCAAGUCAGCGGUAAAAUUUCGGGGCUCAACCCCGUCGUGCCGUUGAAACUGGCGUUCUUGAGUGAGCGAGAAGUAUGCGGAAUGCGUGGUGUAGCGGUGAAAUGCAUAGAUAUCACGCAGAACUCCGAUUGCGAAGGCAGCAUACCGGCGCUCAACUGACGCUCAUGCACGAAAGCGUGGGUAUCGAACAGGAUUAGAUACCCGAGUA
This 445-nucleotide ribosomal RNA is filed under the name uncultured bacterium. RNAcentral describes it as "bacterial SSU rRNA". It matches the Rfam family "Bacterial small subunit ribosomal RNA", at positions 329 to 792 of the family's 1533-position model. The record is from RNAcentral.